Molecule: ribosomal RNA, 820 nt
Filed under: uncultured eukaryote
Lineage: Eukaryota
Description: SSU rRNA
Rfam family: Eukaryotic small subunit ribosomal RNA
Source: RNAcentral
CGGUGUUUAACUGGCGUGAUGUGGGACGUCCUACCGGUGGGCUUAGCCUCGCGAGGGGCGGCCCAACUAAUAUCCCGUCGCGGUGCUCUUUACUGAGUGUCGAGUCGGGCCGGUACGUUUACUUUGAACAAAUUAGAGUGCUUAAAGCAGGCUAUCCUCGCCUGAAUACUGCGUGCAUGGAAUAAUGGAAUAGGACCUCGGUUCUAUUUUGUUGGUUUUCGGAACCCCGAGGUAAUGAUUAAUAGGGACAGAUGGGGGCAUUCGUAUUGCGACGUUAGAGGUGAAAUUCUUGGAUCGUCGCAAGACGGACAGAAGCGAAAGCAUUUGCCAAAAAUGUUUUCAUUAAUCAAGAACGAAAGUUAGAGGUUCGAAGGCGAUCAGAUACCGCCCUAGUUCUAACCAUAAACGAUGCCAGCUAGCGAUCCGCCGAAGUUCCUCCCGAUGACUCGGCGGGCAGCUUCCGGGAAACCAAAGCUUUUGGGUUCCGGGGGAAGUAUGGUUGCAAAGCUGAAACUUAAAGGAAUUGACGGAAGGGCACCACCAGGAGUGGAGCCUGCGGCUUAAUUUGACUCAACACGGGAAACCUCACCAGGCCCAGACACCGGAAGGAUUGACAGAUUGAUAGCUCUUUCUUGAUUCGGUGGGUGGUGGUGCAUGGCCGUUCUUAGUUGGUGGAGCGAUUUGUCUGGUUAAUUCCGAUAACGAACGAGACUCUAGCCUGCUAAAUAGGCGUACCUUAUGGUAUCGCGAAGGCCCCCGGCUUCGGCCGGUGGGUUUUUACUACCAACGUACAAACAAAUCUUCUUAGAGGGACAGGCGG